AAUUGCACUAGUCCCGGCCU
RNAcentral lists this microRNA (20 nucleotides) under Drosophila erecta. RNAcentral describes it as "miR-92b-RA". Lineage: Eukaryota; Metazoa; Arthropoda; Insecta; Diptera; Drosophilidae. The record is from RNAcentral. RNAcentral also lists the same sequence under 4 other names.